Cololabis saira (Pacific saury) is the source of this 3095-nucleotide long non-coding RNA. RefSeq lists it as uncharacterized. Lineage: Eukaryota; Metazoa; Chordata; Actinopteri; Beloniformes; Belonidae. The transcript is spliced from 3 exons. The record is from RefSeq and is a predicted model, not a curated record.
CUCAGUCUUUCUGCCACUCAGUCUUUCUGCCACUCAGUGGGUGAAACCCGUCUUGAAGUCGCAUCUGUGACAUUAUGUGCAUUCCCUCUAUUUGUGUCGGGCGUGGUUGUGGGCGGGACACGGAGUACGACGUUGUGUUGACCACAUGAUCCCUGCAGCAUGACUUGCAGUCAGUUGUGAGAUAUUAUCUUAAAUUUCUAGUGUUUUACAUCCGGUUCCGGCGGUCGCCGGCCCGCCACCGUUCUAGCUACUUUAUGAAGUCAUCCUCAUGUGAAGAAGUGUCGUUUUGACGGUUUCUGGCGUGAACGACGCCCCUUUUCCUCAAACUCUGGAGUGCAGGGACGCGGACGCUAACCCGCCCGAAGUCAGCUCGGAGUUUCAAAACGUCUCGGGAAACGGGCUCAAAAACUCUCAAGUGUUGAUAAUCACGUGCUGUUGAUUGUCAUCACUUGAGAAGACGGCGGUCAGGUUCAAGUUAGCCCGAGGUGGUGGUCGUCAUGGAGACGGGACGUCCUUCAACGCCUCCCGCAGGUCCGGGUCUCCUCCUACCCCCACUAGAGGACCUCGGCUAGCCCGUUUUCAUUAGAACAGAACAACCAAACCCAGACUUUUCAGUCACGUCGACUUUUCGGAGCUUCGCCACCCAUCAAUAAUUUUGUAGGAAUAAAAAAAGAGUACGUUUAGGUAAAAGUUUAGUUCAGCGGCGAUGAUAAAUGUGAGAAAGUUGUCAAACAAAUGUUUUAUCUAACGGCUUUGAGCACAAGAUUAGGCGAGUUUAGCUAAAAUAAAGCCUUAGAUCGGGUCUUUGUGUAGGCGGGAUAGUUCAGCAUCCUGGCGUCAGUGUAGCUAAACCAGAUGAGCUCUGAUAUCUGAUCAUUAGUAGCAAAGCUAAACUACGUAACUCAAGUCUGGAUUAGCGCUAACAACGUUAUGUCAGCUAAAAUGGCUAACGGCUAAAAUACUCAAUUACAGUUUUCUGGAUUUAGAGGAAAACUAGAUUAAAUAGUUAUUUCAAAAUCUGGAGUAGCAGCUAAACCGGAACAGGUCUGGUUGGUUUAUAGACGCUAAACGUCUUUACGCGCUAACAUCCUGAAUUAGCAGUUGAACGAGGUUAGAUUGUAUAAAGACGAAAUUAAACACAUUUAAAGCCUUAAUUAGAAGCUAAACUUUAAUAGUUCUAGUUGGCUAAACAUUCAGCUAAACGAAAGCUGGGGCUGUUGGGUAAAGAGCAGCUUAGUUUAGCAGCUAAAUCAGCUAAAUGUGGCUACGCGUGAUGAGGUCCGAACGGCAGCGGCGAGCGUCUCAGAGGACCGUUAGAAGCCGCCAUCAGGGUCGGUAGAAACUCCCAGAAUUCAACGAGGAUGAUAGUAAAACUGUAAAAGCCUCGCAGUAACUCGAUCCACUUCUGCGCUCCCCGGAUCACGACAGGAAGUGGCGAGGCAGCACCGCUCAGCUUCCUGUGCUGAAGAACUGAGAUGACGGUUGUAAACCUGACGGGUUGUUGGAGGCUCCACAGACUCCCCGGAUGUUUCUGAUUCCAGUACGGGAACGGAAACAACUGCCGUUUGAGCUCCGGCGAGUCUCAGGUGUGGUCCUGAACUGGAUUCCUAGCUGGAUUCUGAACUGGAUUCUGAACUGGAUUCCUAGCUGGAUUCUGAACUGGAUUCCUAGCUGGAUCCUGAACUGGAUUCCUAGCUGGAUUCUGAACUGGAUUCUGAACUGGAUUCUGAACUGGAUUCUCAGCUGGAUUCUGAGCUGAGUCGUCAUGUGACCUAAAGGUCGAGUGGGAGCUGUGACGAGGUUUCCAUCAGUUGAGCAGGUUUCCAGCAGGUUUUCAGCAGUUGUGCAAGUUUCCAGCAGUUGUGCAGGUUUCCACCAGUUGAGCAGGUUUCCGGCAGGUUUCCAGCAGGUUUACACCAGUUGUGCAGGUUUCCGGCAGGUUUCCAGUAUUGUGGCGAGCCAGCUAGGAGCCUAAAAAUCCCAUUUGGCCCACUCGUCCCUUGAGAUGCGGCUCAUUUGGAUCUGGAGGUUUCCAGCAGGUUUCCAGGAGUUGUGCAGGUUUCCAGCAGUUGUGCAGGUUUCCAACAGGUUUCCAGCAGUUGUGCAGGUUUCCAGCAGGUUUCCAGCAGUUGUGCAGGUUUCUAGCAGUUGUGCAGGUUUCUAGCAGUUGUGCAGGUUUCCAGCAGUUGAGCAGGUUUCCAGCAGUAGUGCAGGUUUCCAACAGGUUUCCAGCAGAUGUGCAAGUUUCCAGCAGGUUUCCAGCAGGUUUCCAGCAGUUGUGCAAGUUUCCGGCAGGUUUCCAGCAGUUGUGCAAGUUUCCAGCAGGUUUCCAGCAGGUUUCCAGUAUUGUGGCGAGCCAGCUAGGAGCCUAAAAAGCCCAUUUGGCCCACUCGUCCCUUGAGACGCGGCUCAUUUGCAAAAUUGGCACGUUAACAUCGUAUAAUCCCUAAAAAGCAAACAGACAGGGAUGGCAGUGACGGGGAGGUUUGGUGGAUGACUCCCAACAUCCCUGCGUUGCAUCACUGCAGCGCGUCGCGCACCAGGAGAGCGAGGCUAAGCCGCCGGAGCAGAAUCACGUUUUUAUGUCGACAGCAAUAUGAAGAGGAGACUUUCAGGCCAGUGUAAAGCUGGAACCGUGGCUGAAGAGCGGUCCGACUGUUGCCAUUAGCACGCCCCCCUCUUAGCGGCAACUCAUCCCACAACUCUGUAGAGGUGACAUGUUUUAGCUCCGUACUUUAGAAGCAGAGUCCCAACAGCGCAGUAGCAUCAUGAACUACAGUCAAUAAACUCUUGUUUGUUCCUUUGCUGAGACGCAGGGGACGUUUCCACUGCCUUUGUUUGUUUGUUUGUUCGUUGCCUGGUUGGUUCGUCUGUUUGUUUGUUUACGGAGAUGUUGAGUAACAAAAAAAAUGUUUUAAAAGAUGGAUUUAUUUAACAAUCAUGUAUUAAGAGAACAUGUAUAUGAAGAGGAUUUUCAGAGCAUCAGAAUGAAGAUAUUAGAGAUAAUCUAUCCCAGAUGUUUUAACAGCAGAUUGAUUUAUAGAUGAUAGGCCUACUGAGAUAUUAAAUAUAACAAUUGCUAAAAAUGAUGAAGA